UUUAGUGGUAAAACUA
This 16-nucleotide transfer RNA is filed under the name Radula formosa var. formosa. RNAcentral describes it as "partial tRNA-Gly". The record is from RNAcentral. Lineage: Eukaryota; Viridiplantae; Streptophyta; Jungermanniopsida; Radulales; Radulaceae.